CGUCAGCUCGUGUCGUGAGAUGUUGGGUUAAGUCCCGCAACGAGCGCAACCCUUAUCUUUAGUUGCCAGCAUUCAGUUGGGCACUCUAGAGAGACUGCCGUCGACAAGACGGAGGAAGGCGGGGAUGACGUCAAAUCAUCAUGCCCCUUAUGACCUGGGCUACACACGUGCUACAAUGGUUGGUACAACGGGAUGCUACCUCGCGAGAGGACGCCAAUCUCUUAAAACCAAUCUCAGUUCGGAUUGUAGGCUGCAACUCGCCUACAUGAAGUCGGAAUCGCUAGUAAUCGCGGAUCAGCAUGCCGCGGUGAAUACGUUCCCGGGCCUUGUACACACCGCCCGUCACACCACGGGAGUUUGCAACACCCGAAGUCGGUGAGGUAACCGCAAGGAGCCAGCCGCCGAAGGUGGGGUAGAUGACUGGGGUGAAGUCGUAACAAGGUAUCCGUACCGGAAGGUGCGGAUGGAUCACCUCCUUUCUAUGGAG
This 487-nucleotide ribosomal RNA is filed under the name Brevibacillus agri. RNAcentral's name for it is "bacterial SSU rRNA". It matches the Rfam family "Bacterial small subunit ribosomal RNA", at positions 1053 to 1533 of the family's 1533-position model. The record is from RNAcentral. Lineage: Bacteria; Bacillati; Bacillota; Bacilli; Caryophanales; Paenibacillaceae.